This 253-nucleotide ribosomal RNA is filed under the name uncultured bacterium. RNAcentral's name for it is "partial 16S ribosomal RNA". It matches the Rfam family "Bacterial small subunit ribosomal RNA", at positions 524 to 776 of the family's 1533-position model. The record is from RNAcentral.
UACAGAGGGUGCGAGCGUUAAUCGGAAUUACUGGGCGUAAAGCGCGCGUAGGCGGCUUUGCAAGUCGGGUGUGAAAUCCCCAGGCUCAACCUGGGAACUGCAUUCGAGACUGCAUUGCUAGAGUAUGGGAGAGGGAAGUGGAAUUUCCGGUGUAGCGGUGAAAUGCGUAGAUAUCGGAAGGAACAUCAGUGGCGAAAGCGACUUCCUGGACCAAUACUGACGCUCAUGUGCGAAAGCGUGGGGAGCAAACAGG